AUGGGUUUAACAUUGUUAUAAUUUCUGCUGCCACCGUGAACAUCAAAAUGAGUCCGAUAAAUUGAAGCUAGAAUUUCUCCAUCGAAAUACUACAUUGUCCAUGUGGCCAAGAUGCAACAGUAGCAAACCCCAGAAUGUUUGAGGAGGGCCUAUCAUCCUACAACCUUGGCAGGGAGCUGCUUCAUAUUCCCCAUGUUUCUGCUACUUCCAUGGAAAAUAUGUCAUCUCUAUUGUUGUUCGACGAUAUGCCUAAAAUGAUAUGGAGGGGACAAGAAGUUUGAUGUUCAUGG
This is a long non-coding RNA of Cucurbita maxima (winter squash), 290 nucleotides long. RefSeq lists it as uncharacterized. The record is from RefSeq and is a predicted model, not a curated record. Lineage: Eukaryota; Viridiplantae; Streptophyta; Magnoliopsida; Cucurbitales; Cucurbitaceae. The transcript has 3 exons.